Long non-coding RNA from Fopius arisanus, 2684 nucleotides. RefSeq lists it as uncharacterized. Lineage: Eukaryota; Metazoa; Arthropoda; Insecta; Hymenoptera; Braconidae. The record is from RefSeq and is a predicted model, not a curated record. The transcript is spliced from 3 exons.
UGGCAUCGCGGGAGUCUUCAAGGGAUAAAUAAAACACCCGAGGCAAGAGUCGAGAGCCUUUCCAAAUGUACACAAAGAGACGAAAUAUACAUUUAGUUCGCACAGUGUCAUCGGGGGGGAUUACCCGACGUAUUUCAUCUGGGGCUUUUUCCUUCUUUUUUCAACAUUAAGGCGGAGUUUGCGGCUGACCUAGGCAAACCACGUGUCGAGUUGUCUCUUUGUCCCUCUCCAUUCUCUUUUCCUCCUCUUCUUUGUACUCUAUUGCUUUUAUUUCCUACGCUUGUUUCUUGUUCUCUUUUUUUUUCUCUCUCUCUUCCUUUGUUUUAAUCUCUUUAUUCGCACUCGCGAUUCUCUUAUCUUGCCUUUUCAAACCGAGAUUAGCUCGUUGCGCAGUUAGCACACCAUCCCAGUGUCUCUGUGACGUGUGUGUACAUAAUCCAACAGUAUAAUGGAACACAACGGGGAUGUUGGAGAAACAAUGAAGAGAUUGCUGCAUUAGGAGUUCGAGGUGUUUCUUCCGUUUUGGGGGUACUCGUGGGGAAUACUAAGUGCAUCGAGGAAAAAGGAUGAUUACUGGGAUGAGAGUCGAGAGACUUUUGGAUUAUCGUGAUGAUUCUGAUGGUGCGGGAAAUACCCCGGCGACGACCUUGCAGCCCAACCAGCCCAACCAACCAACGGGACAGGCUUGACGACGUGACCAGGAUGUUUAUCGACUCAUUUUCCAGGGAUGCCAUCUACGGAAUCACAAGUUCCGAUGCUAUUUCACGCGGAUUCUGCACUUGUGCACAAAACCGUGUGUUUAAUUUUAACGUACUUUUUUGUUAUUCCAGUGACGAUUUCAUGGGAUUUUAUUCUCUAUUGAUGCCUGAUCGAACGGGGGGCUUGAGGUCUUUCAGUGGAUGAAGCUUUUCGGAAUCUACAUGGAGAUGGAAAUAUAUUUCAGUCUGGGACUGAUAGGCUUGAUGUGGUUCUUCAGGGCACCGAUUUUCAAGUAAUAUGCUUGAGGCAAAUACUCAAUCACUUUCGGAGGACAAUUGGUAUUUAUUGAAGAAUUUCACCCGGACUUUGGCCGAUCGGACCGCAGAAUUUUCGAGAAAAGCGAGUGAAGAGACCGCGAAAUAUUCAGGCUAAGAGGCAAUACCCGAAAUAAAACCAUCUCGAAUUCGCUCUAAUUGGCGAUACCGAAAAAAACAUCUGUAAAAUUAAUAAUUUCAUAAUUUCUUUCCCAUAAAUCGAUUUUAAUAACCGCUUCCUAGAAAUAAAAAGUGGAAAGUGCGUGAAAUUGUAUUUUUCUCGAAACAUUCUAUAUAAAACCGAAGUUUUAACGAUUGCAAGCCUAAUUAUUAUUCCACAUGAAGAGGAAAAACAAAAUAUAUAAUACGUUGCUGGAUGUAAGCCAACCACCACCAUCACUUUCGCUGGAGCAGUUUCCUUUUUCCUCGUGCACACGGUGGCUGAAGAGGGCCAUUUUGGAAACAACCGGUUCUUGUUGCCACUCUACAAUAUAUCCCAUCAUUAGUCUCACGAGAAUCAGAAGUGCAAAAUGAUGAAUUAACGAAGACAUCUAUAAAUAGAGAAGGACGUCUCCUGUGUAUAAAAAUCGACUGAAGUGGAAAGUAAUGAAGUCAACUGAUUAUUUUUCUAGACAGCAGCAUCGUCUAGCAAAAUAUUUUUCCCAGUUGCCAGUUGAAAAAAGAAAUCCCGCCCCAAUACCUAUUUAAAGACGGCGAAUGAAUAAAAAAGACGAUGUUAUGAAACAAAACGAGAAGCUCCAAGUGACCAAACAUUCUCAGCUGGAUACAUAAGGGAGAUUGAUAUCUCCACAGGGUAGACUUGUGCUUUCAGCCAAAGCACACACGUGAAAGUGUGCCAUCGGACAAUUGCAGUGAGCACCAGAGGAAAUCCCCAGCGUCAUUUCGUCGACGAGGUUUGCCAAAGAGUUGACCGCUUUUCUCGCCCGUGAAACGUUUUGACACAAACAUAUACAUCACGGCAUUAACAACGCCUUCUAAUUUGAAAAACAGUAAACAAAAGAAAUAGAUGUUAACGUCACAUUCGGCUCGUAGCCUAUUUUUCAAUCUCCACGAGGCCGUCAAAAUAUACAAGAUACAAUAAUAAAAUACCUGAUAAAGACAUCAGGAAAAACAAAGAAUACACUCCUUUCCGGUAAUUACACCACUUCCGUUGUCAAAAAAUAUUCAUGCUAAUGGGACCCAAUUUUUCAUUGUUCCAAGUGGUAUGAAAAGAUGAAAAAUGGCAGCGGGGGGAAAAUGGCGGUUGUAUGGGUUGACACCAUUCUGCGUUUGCUGUGAAGUUUUAACGCUUUUGGAAUUCGAAACGGAUUCAUAUUGUUCAACCGAACAAACGUCUCGGUGAAAAUAAAGAGAGGAAUGAGUGAAAAGAGAGAAAUGAGUUAAAAGAGAGGAAAAGGGAGAGUUUACAGACGAGAGACAGAUGUAUGGAGUACUAGCACGACGAAAGACGUUAACGUUUGCUGUUUUCACGACGAAGAUUGGUCGCAGGUGGCCAGUACAGCAACUCUCAGCACGUGUGGUACUUGCUGGCUGAAUAACACGGGUUUGUUGCACAAAGUUGCAUCAAACAGAGUCAUGUUACUGGUGCAGAAUCAAAACACGAUGGUUUUGUUUAAUCGACGAGUUUCGGCCAUUUUAUUCGGUCAAAUU